ACGCCAACCAGUGUUGAAAAGUGCCAGGACCGUGUGGAAUGCUUCAAUGCUGAUCUGAAGGCAGACUGGGAUCGGUGGCAAAGCAACAAAAGACAGGACUUUCGACAGCUGUUGAUGGGAAUGGCAGACAAGAACAUCCAGUAUUAUGAGAAGUGCCUUGCAGCAUGGGAGUCGGUUAUUCCUCUCCUACAAGAGAAGCCAGAAGUUACAAGUGAAGGCCACUCAUAGCUUCUGCUUUCAUGUUGCCCACUGGCUGUUUUCCCAGUUCACAGUACUGGAAUAUUGCACUUUGGGGGAGUUGGGAGGAAACAACGUCAAAUAGACAGUUUCACGUCAAUAGCACGUUGUACAAGGACUGUCUGCAGAAGGUGUGCUCUGUUCAGUGAAGGAUUUGUUUGUUUCAUCUGCAUGUUGUCUAAUAGCUCACUUUCAGCAGUCUGAGUACUGGCCACUUAAUGCUGAACAUUAUAAUGGCAAUCUUUUGCCUGAUUGACAUGGUUGGUUGUGUUCCUUCCAUGUAUUGUAGUUUUUUUAAAACUUGUUACACUUAAACAGUCUUGGACACUUCUUGAAAUACUUUUGAUUCCUUGAAGCAUCCUAUUUAACCAGUUGAGUGCACUUGGAUGUGGAGGGGUUUUUCAAUUGAAGGGUUUGGUGAGAUUGGAACAAGCCUGUAAUGGAGGAAAGCUUGAAGCAUUGAUUUAGUGAUUGAAGAUACUAAUGCCUCAGACACAAGGGAAGAAAAUGAAGUACACUUGAGAUGUAAAUUCGUUUCUAUUUAAUUGUCUUUAUAGUAGUCACACUCAAUGUUUUCAAGUCUUUGUUCCCUUGUGCAUGUUAGACACUAUGAUAGCAGAGUGGUAAAUAAUCCAGUGAGUCCAUUGUAGCACAGUAUUGGUGAAACCUUUUCUGACCAGCAUUAAUUGAAUAUUGACUGCAUUCCUUAAAAAACACAAGUGAAUCAAUUUAGAGUACUGUAUCCUCCACCCAUAAUGACACCAUUGUCUAAUUUGUGUAUUUUCCUAUUCCUGAAUUUUGCCAAGUUUUUAUUUUCACUUUUUGUAAAAUUUGACACCCUUAAUGUGCUUUAUGUAAUGUGUUUAGUCUGUAAAAAUGAAGUCAGUUUAUAAAAUCAUGUCCUUUUGAUAAAUGCUUUCAGGGCAAGGCAAGAAGAAAUCCUAUCACUUGCUUGUCCUUUUCUUGUUGAGACCUGUUUGUAUGUGAAUUAAGUGAGUAUUCCAGAUAUUUAAAGAUAAGAUAUUAUUAGCUAUCAGAUCACCCAGGGAACAAACAGUUACUGAAUUGAGUGUAUACAAAGUGCCUUUGUUGCAUGCAACCUUUUGUAUAAGCUAACAUUUUUGUGUUUAUUUUGGGCUAAAUUUUGAGCAACCUUAGCUGCUUUGUUUCCGUGACUGCAGUACACUAAACUCCUGAAUAGGAAAAGUUGCCAAUUUGCAUGGUUAUAUUGCUGCUUUUGUGCCUGCUGUAAGUGUUUGUUUGUUUAUUUUUUCCCAUUUAAGCCUUUUUGAGUAUAAUACCUCUUUUAAAUGAACAAGAAUAUCAUUAAACAAUUUUAAAAAGGAAAUCCUUUAUUUUGCUCUUGAAGACAUCAAGCAGAAUUAAGACUAAUGGUAGAGUUGAGGAGGGGGUGGUGAACACAUUUAAUCUUGCCCUGAUGUAGUUGUGCAUUGAUAUCUUAGUCAGAAGACUAAGUAGGCAUCUGAUAAUUCUCUAGCUUGGUUAGUUGCAUUCCGCAGUAGAAAUGUCAAAAACAUAAUCUGCAAAAUUAAAGCUAGCAAAAAAGAUAAUUUAAAUUAUUCUUUUUGCCCAGGCAAUUUCUAAAAUGGGUAAAGUUGAGUUGUGUGCUUUUCUUUGAACAGUUCAAUGCAUUAAAAUGAAUGCCAAAGUAUUUGGGGGCCAUUCCACCAGUUCCUGCUGCUUUUUUUGAGGUGUUAAUAUCAUGAUCGGAUUUGUCUUCAAUUUACUGGUCUGAUUUUAAAUUGAAAUUAUUUCCUCAAAUUGGUGUGUUUUAUCCAAUUCCAUGCAUAAGGUCUCCUGUCCAAACCCCUCUGCCUACCUGACCACCACCACCAACCUUGUAGAGUUGGCUGGGGAAGAUAAUGCACUUUAAAAGCAUCAAAUAAUAUUCAUGAUUGGGGGAAGGAAUUUUUAUUCAGAUGAGUGUCUGUCUGAAUGUCUUCACGGUGACUGUUUUGGUGGCAGAUUUGUAAAUCAUGUACUAAUCUAGUAAGUGUUUUAACUUUCUUCUGAACCUGAAAAUGGAUUACUUUGUAUUACAUGGUGUAAUUUUACUUCAUGCCAAAACUUUAAUACAUACAUACACUCAAAAGUUAUUAAUUUUCUGAAGAUGCCCAGGUAGGCAAUGUGAUCAAGUAAAAAAAACAUUUCAGUAAGUUAGUGUGGAGCAAAUAAAACACUGGAAGCCAUUUGAAAAUGGCAUAAGCAGUAUGGACAAGUAGCAUUUGCACAUGGUGCUCUGAAAUAUUCCUUCUCGGUGGGUUUUGUCUGCUGCUGACUUCUGGAAUGUGCUAAGGUUGUAACUAAAACUGUAAUGCCCUAAAUUACUACUGGGGUUGGGUUGCCAAGGUACAUUUGUCUGUCAAAGAACAAAUUCCAGUGCAGUGUUCAAUACUGGCAGGCUUGCAUUGUGUACAGCCCACUAACCAGUGACUAAAACUUUAACUUGUUGGCACAAAUCGUGAGGAAAAGUUCUUGUUUCAAGGUAUUAAAAUGUAUCUAUGCAUUCAGAGACCUCCUGUAUUCUGGAUUAUUACAGUUUUUUUUAAACGUGGCAUUCAAUAUUUUAACAGCAUCUGUAUUGAAACUUCUAAUUGAUCUUGGGUUAAUUGAAGUGAUUGCAAUCCUCUCUUUUGAGGACAGGUGAUUUGUUUACUGUGAAUCAGAGCAUGAAGUUUUGAAACAAAUCAUGAAGGAGUCAACUUAGUAAAAUCAAUAUGGAUUAUGGAAUAUUGUACCCUUUCCCUAACACCAGUUUUUGGUGCUGUGCUAAUGCCAACAGUUCUUGCAAUCCAUAUUGUACCUGUGGAUUUUUUUGAACACCAUUGAAUAAACUUGGGUAUACUGUUUGCAUUCAAAA
Long non-coding RNA from Rhincodon typus (whale shark), 3118 nucleotides. RefSeq lists it as uncharacterized. The record is from RefSeq and is a predicted model, not a curated record. NCBI's taxonomy places the organism in Eukaryota, Metazoa, Chordata, Chondrichthyes, Orectolobiformes, Rhincodontidae. The transcript is spliced from 2 exons.